GUGCUUGCUUUAGCAAAACAUAUACUAAAAUUGGAACCAUAUGGAGAAGAUUAGCAUGGCUUCUGCACAAGGAUGACAUGCAAAUUCAUGAAGCAUUCCAUAUGUUU
Small nuclear RNA from Jaculus jaculus (lesser Egyptian jerboa), 107 nucleotides. The record is from Ensembl. Lineage: Eukaryota; Metazoa; Chordata; Mammalia; Rodentia; Dipodidae.